AAGCACCCCUGGGUUCUGUGAUACCAAAAUUCAUAAGGAAGAUAAACACGGCUCCUGUGCAAAGAUGACAUGCAAUUUGCAAAGUGUUCCAUAUUUUU
Molecule: small nuclear RNA, 98 nt
Filed under: Spermophilus dauricus (Daurian ground squirrel)
Lineage: Eukaryota; Metazoa; Chordata; Mammalia; Rodentia; Sciuridae
Source: RNAcentral